This 3626-nucleotide long non-coding RNA is filed under the name Linum usitatissimum (flax). Its description in RNAcentral is "long non-coding RNA (LUSI_LNC005363)". Lineage: Eukaryota; Viridiplantae; Streptophyta; Magnoliopsida; Malpighiales; Linaceae. The record is from RNAcentral.
UUUAGGUUCUUUGAACAAAGGAUUUAAAGAAUAGUAGUUAUAACUAAAGAAAAAAAGUUGGGCGACCCUGAUGAUGAUCUCCCCUGUGAUUUUCCAAUUUCUCAUAUACUGAUUUACAAGAAGUAGUGCAUCUGAAGCAAAAAAGGCUUCAUCAUCCAUGUAAUUUAAGACUUUCACGACAUCAUCACUUCACAACAAAAAAUAGCACCACAAGUACCCAAAACCACAACCAGAUAUCCAUUUUUCUUUUACACUCUCAAACAAGAAACAGUUUUAACUUCACAGUGAGAUUUCUCUUUGUUUCCUUGUCCAACUGCAGAGACAAAAGAGUCCUCGUGGGGGUUGAGACUUGAACCCGAUUGACUGAAAAGACCUCCACGUUUCUCUGUAAGAGAAAGCCCAUCUUAGCCCAUCUUAGUCUUUACUUUGCACUUUCCUUUGUGUUCUGUUUUGGCAUAAACAAUUGGGUUUUCUCAUACACCACAUCCCAAUCCUCUUGCUUCUGAUCCUUUCAUGAUUCUCAACCUCUUACAGGAUGACAUGAACAUGUCCCAAGGAACAUCUCCAACGAGCAUCCAGUCACCAUCUUUGUCUUCAUAAGUAGGUACGUGCUCGGACCCUUUAUAGCCUUCUCUCUCAGAAUAGACACCCGCAGCAAACUUAAACAUGGUCUCCAAAGCCAUUAGGAGUUCAGGGUAGCCUCUAUAGACCUUGAGGUCAAUCUUCCUGAGAUAUGGUGCUCCAUCCAUGCUAACUUUCACGUACAUCCCGCUAGCACCAUCAGCAGCUUCAGUACUUUUCUUUGGCUGCAAGCUAUUCUUCCUGUAGGAUCGGAUUGGUGGCCAGCCCACAAUCUGUGCCCUGCAGGUUCAUAGCAUAUCAGAGGGCUGAAAGUCUAGAACACAAACUUGAAGUAGUUUGUAGGAGGACUUACUUAGCAGCAGGGGCAGCUUGAACAUGAUCUCCAGAUCUUCCCUUGGCUUCGGUUUCUUCAUUGGUCUCUGCAGGCAUAGGUCGCUUGUUGUGGUUGUUGCUUUUAACAGCAGUUUCUUCUUCUUCUUGUCCUGAGCCAGGCAGUCCAAGCCUGAGCUCGGUUGCCUUGAAGUUCAAGUCAUUUUCAUAUGCAACACCUUCCAUUUGUGUACGUAACAGCUAGCGUUGUACAACAAGUCCCUUAGUUUGGAGAUGAAAGAAGGAUAAGGAUUUGUUAGAGGCAGAGGAUUAGCUGGGGAGAGGGCUGAAAAUUGAAGAUGUGUUUGUUUGGUUGCUUUAUAGAAGAGUGGGAAUUAGGAUAUAAAGAAGAGUUGAAGAAGAGCAUGAAUUAUGGAGAAAGGCAAAGGUAAAGCUGUCGGUAGCAUUAGCGGCACAUUUGAGGCACCUUGUCCAUGCAUUCAGGGGACAAGAAUGGGACAUACACAGCCGCCCAUAUGGAAGAUGAAGGAAAAAGGAUAAAUAAUAAUAAUAAUAGAAUAAAUACCCCUUUUUUCUUUCUUUUUCUUUUUAUUUAGCAAAAGUAAGGAGGUUCUUCUUUUUUCUUUCUUCUUUUUCUUUUCCUGAGAAAGAGAGCUGUGGGUGGGAGGGAAAUCAGGAUCGUUGGUCUGGUUUGCUUGGGUUUAGGGUUAAGGAAGGAAGGAGGGAACAUGACCAUGUGGUUCAUGGGGUCCACAUGGAUGUUGGGUAUGGGCUCAGAUUAGUUAUGGCCAUGUGUAAGCUUAGGACUAAAAGAUGGAACAUAAGCAGUGGAUGUACAUGUACAUGUACAGGUACUACUACUUUUCUCAAAAUUUUUAAGGUUCAUGGAAUACAUUACAUGUGACUGGUGUUUAAUUAUGGUUGGUCAGCCCACUGUUUCACAAUUUCAUCCUUCUUCAUCAUAUUCAGCUGCGGGAAAGCUGCUGAUACCUCAUGACUUCGAUCUAUCUGUGUAGGAAUCCAAUUAAAACCAUCUAGACCCAGUUCAAUGCUCUAAUUAAGGUGAUUAAUGCACUUACCUGUUUACCUCCACUUGCAUUAUCAUUAUCAUGCUAGCUACUGCUGACCCAUACCAUCAGACCUCAAUACUGUGUCAGCUUCGUGUGUGUGCUUUCAAUGGCUAUCUUCUUUGUGAAUAUAUGCAUCCAUUUAUGGGUAAUGGAUGUUAAAGAUAAGGUUUGGAAUUUUCUUUUGGUUGCGACUGUUAACUGUUUCUGAAAUGGAAUUGACUCUGCCUCCAGAAAAAUUAGCUACAUGCAAUGCAAGUAUAUGUUUCAACAGAACAGACUGUCAAAUGGUAGAAAAGCCUCAACCUUUCCUUUCCUGCUUGUGUCUGUUUGUAGCUGAGGAAUUAUAGCUAGGGCUGAAAAUAGUAUACAUGGGUAGCUCUGCUGAACAAUUAAAUAAAACUUGUAACAAGGCUCAUUAAGCCUAUAAGAAUGAGAUCUGAAGGUGAAACAAUUUGAUGAUGAGUGUUGGAGAUCCAUUUGUGGAGGGGAAUUGAUUGAGGGUGGAGAUUUGGAGAGGAAGCAAAAUGAUGAGAGAAGUUUUUCCAAUUUUUGACCUUACAGUUCCUUCCAGCUAUAGGAUGAGAUGAGCCCCACCUUUGUCCAGUGGUCUGAAAUGGAAUCGGAUGCUCUAUCAAUCAAAACUGUACAGCCAAAAGACUAUCAAUUCCAUCAAGUCAUUGUCCACACAUAUACACAGACCAUUCACUGUUGUCCACCCGUGCGUCUUGGAAAGUUGUUCAAUUAUUAACCACCUACUCAUCACUAUCAUCUUCCUUUUAUUCAACUAGCUACGUACCACUUGGUAAAACAAGAGCUACCCUGUUAAAACAUCUCUCUUUUUCUUUGUUUCUCGUCUCUUAAUUAUGUUUAAUCACACCCUCAGCCUAACAACCGCUAGACUUCCUUUCUGUCUGUCAGUCAUCUGUAAACAGAAUUGUUUUGUACCAAGUCAGGAAUUGCUUUCAACAUACAAAACUACUCAGUUGGUUGCGUCAAGUAAACCUAAUACUCAACUGUUAUUGGCAUCUCAACUGUCCAUACUGCUGUAUUAACUUCCCCUGCAUGUGUCAGAAAUAAAAUAAUGACAUAUUUGGCCAUAUCGAAGUUUGGAUUAGGAACAGCAUUUAUAGGAAUCAUAAACUAUUCUUUCAGAUUGUGACUAUCGAGACUCAGAUACAAUGCAUUCCUACGGAGCAAUGCACUUUGCCUCAUGAUGGAUGCAUUGUAGCUCCAGUAGGAUUAUUAUUUCUUGGACUUGGUGAUUCAAUUCAAUGCCCUUCCAGUUCCAGAACAAUAGCUAUCAGAUUAGCUUCAAGUCAUAUUCAUCGGGUGAAAAAUACUAGAACCAGAGCUCCCUUUUUUUACCUCAAAUUUCUGUAAAAAGGGAAUGCUUCAUUCCAGAUAACCAUCAAGUCAAUUGCUUAAUCUUAUGAUUUAAUCCUAAUAAAAUGGUUGACGAGUACCAGUCUGUGAAGGUUACUACUUCCUUCACUGUACUAGGUUUCCUUGAUGUUUUGAAUUCUUAUCAUCCGAGAGCACUGUCCCGAACAAAGAUUGAUGAUAUGAAAUUUUGUGGUGCAGGCCUUGCGAAUGGAUAACCUUGAUUGCAAAGGAAUGGUGUUAGCACUUCACUACAGGAUUGCC